This 438-nucleotide long non-coding RNA is filed under the name Homo sapiens (human). Its description in RNAcentral is "LHRI_LNC419.1". Lineage: Eukaryota; Metazoa; Chordata; Mammalia; Primates; Hominidae. The record is from RNAcentral.
CAGGAAGUAAACACAUCGGUUUCCCUCUCCUGGUCCCUGAACUUUGCGCACGAUGUGGUCAAGUGGAGAGAGGUUUCUGGCAGUCCCAGCGGCCCAUGGUCAGGCUGGCCUGUAUCCCUUUCUCUUUACCCCUUGGGAUUUCCCAGCUUCCUUAUCAACCCUCAAUCACUUUGGGAGGGAGUGAGCCAGCGUUCCCCCUUCCUUCGAAAAGAAGCCACACACACAAAGACUUAGACACGAAUGUUCACAGCAACAUUAUUCAUAAGGGUUCCUCCCCCAAAGGAAACAACCCAAAUAUCCAUCAAACAAACGGUCAAUGAACAAGCAAACAGUGGCACAUGGAUGCAGCGGAAUGCUGUGCAGCGUCAAAAAGGAAAAACCCUCUAACAGACAUACCACAAUGGAUAUCACAAACAUGCUAAGUGAAAGAAGCCAGAC